Molecule: ribosomal RNA, 500 nt
Filed under: uncultured bacterium
Lineage: Bacteria
Description: bacterial SSU rRNA
Rfam family: Bacterial small subunit ribosomal RNA
Source: RNAcentral
UCAGGAUGAACGCUAGCGACAGGCUUAACACAUGCAAGUCGAGGGCAGCAUAAAAGUAGCAAUACUUGGUGGCGACCGGCGCACGGGUGAGUAACGCGUAUGCAACCUACCUAUCAGAGGGGAAUAACCCGGCGAAAGUCGGACUAAUACCGCAUAAAACAGGGGCACCGCAUGGUGAUAUUUGUUAAAGAGAUUCGCUGAUAGAUGGGCAUGCGUUCCAUUAGGUAGUUGGUGAGGUAACGGCUCACCAAGCCGACGAUGGAUAGGGGAACUGAGAGGUUGGUCCCCCACACUGGUACUGAGACACGGACCAGACUCCUACGGGAGGCAGCAGUGAGGAAUAUUGGUCAAUGGGCGAGAGCCUGAACCAGCCAAGUCGCGUGAAGGAAGAAGGAUCUAUGGUUCGUAAACUUCUUUUGCAGGGGAAUAAAGUGCAGGACGUGUCCUGUUUUGUAUGUACCCUGAGAAUAAGGAUCGGCUAACUCCGUGCCAGCAGCUGC